ACCUCAACCCCAAAACGACCAACAAAAACCGAUCCACCCUCAAAUCCGCCAUCAACAUCAAAUAUCCGCCGGUGAAACCACCUGGAAAUCGUUACGCCUUCCGCGCCACCAUCAAAACCCUCUGUCGUGACAUUUCCGACAAAAUGUCUGAACCCGUCAAAACGCAAAUGACGUUCACAACAGCUUGACAUUACAUAUCCAGCAACGAUUGCUCGUGGCCUUUAUAGAUCCGUUGCUGGACCUUAUGAUAAAAGUGUCGUCUUUCGCAUUGUUAAUGACUUUUUGUUUGCUCGUGAAAGUUAUAUCAUUGCAGUGGUCUUUGGAGGUUUGCGUUUAGGCAUUUUGACGCAGUUCUGGCUCGGAUUCAAGCAACUCGCGACCAACUAACGUCACCAAGCCAUCCGUCGAAGUCCUCAACGGUAAUAAGCAAGACAUCAUCUCAGCAAUAUAAAUCCAACAGCAUAUCAGUAAUUAAGUUCAUCUGCAUUUUGCCCCUUUUGAUUUUGGUUGGUUUUCUUUCUAUUUUUUUUCAACGGUGUUUAAUUAUAAUUUUGACAUGGUGAACUUGUUGCUUCCAGUUUGUUGUUUUGGGUGCAUCUGCAUAUUGUUUUUAUGUUGACUAUUUUGAAAAGAGUAUGUAUAUUAAUUUUCUGUCAUGAAUGUUUAGCUAGCAUCUCAGUGUUAAGUGAUUCUGUUAUGAACUUCUGGAUUAGAUUUCGUGUCCGCUUAAUUGCUUCUAUUAUAUCUCAUCUGAAGCAUUAUGUUGGAACUUAUUAUGCUGGAACUUGUUUGUAUAUAGGGCUUAAUCGAUAGUUAAGGAUUAGUUUAGAGUUUAAAGGUUACUAUAACGAAUUCAUGUUCAUGUUGGAGAUUCAUAAGCUGCUAGAAGUUUCAUUUUAAAAUAGUUUGGACUAAACAUGUCUUUGAAGGAUUCAGAAUAUUUGGUUAUUACAUGAAAGUUACCACUGAUUUUUAGCAUAAUGGAAUGUCAAAUGAGUGUGUGUUCGUCCCCAGCUCAAUGUUGAUUUCUAUUACCUUUUAGUACCAUUUUUACUGUCAAUUCUAAUAUGAUGUAAAUACUACUUGAUCCUAUUGCAGUAAUUACGUUUAAUUGGAUUCAUUUUGUGGAUUCGACAAUUUCAUGUUGCAAUACCACCAAGUUCUUAAUAAAUCAA
Molecule: long non-coding RNA, 1175 nt
Filed under: Lathyrus oleraceus (garden pea)
Lineage: Eukaryota; Viridiplantae; Streptophyta; Magnoliopsida; Fabales; Fabaceae
Description: Pisum sativum (pea) long non-coding RNA (PSAT_LNC017435)
Source: RNAcentral